This 73-nucleotide transfer RNA is filed under the name Camelus bactrianus (Bactrian camel). It matches the Rfam family "tRNA". From Rfam's summary of the family: Transfer RNA (tRNA) molecules are approximately 80 nucleotides in length. Their secondary structure includes four short double-helical elements and three loops (D, anti-codon, and T loops). Lineage: Eukaryota; Metazoa; Chordata; Mammalia; Artiodactyla; Camelidae. RNAcentral also lists the same sequence under 2 other names. The record is from Rfam by way of RNAcentral.
GAGGGUAUAGCUCAAGUGGUAGAGCAUGUGCUUAGCAUGCACAAGGUUCUGGGUUCAAUCCCCAGUACCUCCA